This 3055-nucleotide unclassified non-coding RNA is filed under the name Acromyrmex echinatior (Panamanian leafcutter ant). RNAcentral describes it as "e3 ubiquitin-protein ligase Bre1, transcript variant X3". Lineage: Eukaryota; Metazoa; Arthropoda; Insecta; Hymenoptera; Formicidae. The record is from RNAcentral.
AUUACAAGAAUUAGACAAACUUGAUCAGCAACAUCGUGAAACUUUAAAAGAAGUAGAAAAAUUGAAAAUGGACAUAAGACAACUUCCUGAAUCAGUAAUUGUGGAAACAACAGAGUAUAAAUGUUUACAAUCGCAAUUUUCCGUAUUAUAUAAUGAGUCUAUGCAAUUGAAAACACAAUUGGAUGAUGCUCGUCAACAAUUACAAUCGAGCAAAAAUGCACAUUUACGCCACAUUGAGAUGAUGGAGAGUGAAGAAUUAAUGGCUCAAAAAAAAUUGCGCGGCGAGUGUAUACAACUCGAAGACGUCUUAGCACAAUUACGCAAGGAAUACGAAAUGCUUCGCAUUGAAUUUGAACAGAAUCUAGCUGCCAAUGAACAGACAGGUCCGAUCAAUCGAGAAAUGCGGCACCUAAUUACCUCUCUUCAGAAUCACAAUCAGCAAUUGAAAGGAGAAGUGCAUCGGUACAAGCGAAAAUAUAAAGAAACUUCUACUGAAAUACCUCGAUUAAAGAAGGAAGUAGAGGAAUUGACAACUAAAUUAGGGCAACAAACGUCGCAAGAAAAUAAAGAAGGGAAUAAUUCAGAUGGUAGCGGAAAAGAAGAAGAUGCUUCAAAUUCGUUGCCAGGAUCUACACAAAUAAAAGAAGAAAGUGGUGUUACUAUAAAGAGGGAAUCUGGUGCUGAUGAAGAGGUAGAAACAAUUGAAGUUGGAGAAGGUGAAGGCAACAAAAAUACACCAGACUCUCUAACGUUAACUUCGCCAACUCUAAAAAAGGAGAAGGAUAUAAAACGUGAGAAGGAUAUCAAGAAAGAAUCUGUGAAAACUGAACAUCGGGAUCCUGCACAUCGCACCAAAGACGCAAAAAUGGCAGAAUCGGAACUCGUGAGAGAUUUGAAGGCACAACUUAAAAAAGCUGUGAAUGAGAUGAAAGAAAUGAAGCUUUUAUUAGACAUGUACAAAGGUGUUGGAAAAGAGCAGCGAGAUAAAGUACAGUUAAUGGCUGCAGAGCGUAAAACGAGAGCAGAGUUGGAGGAUUUACGACAACAAGUCAAAAAAAUUCAAGAAAGUAAACGUGAGGAACGUAAGAAGUUAGCUGAUGAAGAUGCGCAGAUAAAAAUUAAGAAAUUAGAAGAACAAGCAUACACAUUGCAACGUCAGGUUGCUUGUCAAAAACAGAAUUGUAUUUGGUUGCAGGAAGAGGAAGCACUUCUGAAUGAAAUGGAAGUGACUGGACAAGCGUUCGAAGAUAUGCAGGAACAGAACUCUAGACUCAUACAGCAGUUACGUGAGAAAGAUGACGCAAAUUUUAAGCUCAUGACAGAGAGGAUCAAAAGUAAUCAAUUGCACAAACUUGCGAGAGAGGAGAAGGAUGUAUUGAAAGAACAAGUGUCUACAUUAACGACACAAGUGGAAGCGGCCAACGUAGUUGUACGAAAAUUGGAAGAGAAGGAGCGUCUUUUACAAAACUCUCUCGCCACGGUGGAAAAAGAAUUAGCGCUGAGACAGCAAGCGAUGGAGAUGCAUAAACGGAAAGCGAUAGAAAGUGCACAAUCUGCAGCUGAUCUCAAACUCCAUCUUGAAAAAUAUCAUUCCCAAAUGAAAGAAGCACAACAAGUCGUAGCCGAGAAAACAAGUUCCUUGGAAGCUGAAGCAUAUAAAACUAAAAGAUUACAGGAAGAAAUAGCGCAACUGAGGCGCAAAGUCGAGCGAAUGAAGAAGAUUGAGCUCGCUGAAACCCUGGAUGAAGUAAUGGCGGAAGAGCUGCGAGAAUACAAGGAAACUCUAACGUGUCCGUCUUGUAAGGUGAAGCGGAAGGAUGCCGUGCUCACCAAGUGCUUCCACGUGUUUUGCUGGGAUUGUCUACGCACACGUUAUGAGACGCGGCAACGAAAAUGUCCCAAAUGUAAUUGCGCCUUCGGUGCCAACGACUACCAUCGGCUGUAUCUAUCCACAUGAAGAAGAAGAUACUGACUUGAAAAAUACGCCGCGGUGUAGAGUUAUGUUUUGUAAUAUGUUACGAUCUUCCUUCAAUCGCGGGAAGGAUAAUGACGUGUAAAACAGGAUUGCCGUGUGCAAAGAGUUAAACCUACAACAUUAACAGUAUCUUCAACUGUGACUGCUUUUUUUCUCUCGGAAUCGUUCGCUGUAUUAUUCAAUCGAUGUUUAACGGUAAAGAGUGUCUGUAUGAUUGUUAUCACACAAGAAAAACAUUCUAAUUGUUGCGCUCGAGACUAUAAGCCGUGUCAUUCUUAUGUUUUCUCUUUUAGGACUACGGUCCUUCCUGGGGUAUUUUUAAUUACGUGUAGAAAAUGCGAGAGGUGUUCGAGAAAUAAUACGACGCUUCGCGGGUUUCGGAAAAAUGAUUGCGCUGGAGUGUCGGAAGAAAAGUAACAGGACAGAAGGGAUCACUACAGCACUUCGCGUAGCUCUCAGGAACAAUCGUAUUUUAUUCUAUGAGCAGCAUGACAAUUACGCUUCUCGGCUUCUUCGAGUUAUGCGUAUAUAUAAAUAUAUACUGAACUCAAGGCACGUUAGUCCCCUCGUUUAUCAAAAGAGAAUAAAACAUCCGAUCUGCCAAUCACAAUAUAUAUAUAUAUAUGGAAUGUCGCAGCAUCACUCAACAAAAACUGAUUAGCGGCGCAAUAUUUCUCUUAUUUAAUCUUUUAUCUCUAUGUAAAUCCCGUUGAAUAACUCUGAUUUCUCAUUUACGCCUUCCAGGAAGCAUUUUUUUUUAAUUUCCCGGGGAAAUUCUAAUAAAUAUACAAAUGUUAUGUCGAAUCUGUAACGUCAUGUCAAUGCUCAAAAUCUGAAAAUUCACCUAAAAAGCGUAUUAGCUGAAAGAUUUAAGUAAUAAUCAGUACGUUUGCGGUAAUUCUGCGAUGAAAGCUACUUCUCGAACACUCCUCGUAACUCGAUGCAUUCAGCACGGCCCAAUAGGACUCACGUCGGCGCCACUUCGAUGGCUCGGCUCAAAAAGUGGGUAAUUUGAAAAAUCUCAUGUUACAAAUGUAUUCUCAAUCUUCUAACUUGAAAAAUAUAUCUACAUAUUUGCAA